UGGUAAUGCCGGAUGCUCCGACUCCUCGCAUGGGGUGUCGGGAAAGAUUUCAUCGGUAUGGGAUGGGGUCGCGUCCUAUCAGGUAGUCGGCGGGGUAACGGCCCACCGAGCCUACGACGGGUAGCCGGCCUGAGAGGGCGACCGGCCACAUUGGGACUGAGAUACGGCCCAGACUCCUACGGGAGGCAGCAGUGGGGAAUAUUGCACAAUGGGCGCAAGCCUGAUGCAGCGACGCCGCGUGCGGGAUGACGGCCUUCGGGUUGUAAACCGCUUUUGAUCGGGAGCAAGCCUUCGGGUGAGUGUACCUUUCGAAUAAGCACCGGCUAACUACGUGCCAGCAGCCGCGGUAAUACGUAGGGUGCAAGCGUUAUCCGGAAUUAUUGGGCGUAAAGGGCUCGUAGGCGGUUCGUCGCGUCCGGUGUGAAAGUCCAUCGCUUAACGGUGGAUCUGCGCCGGGUACGGGCGGGCUGGAGUGCGGUAGGGGAGACUGGAAUUCCCGGUGUAACGGUGGAAUGUGUAGAUAUCGGAAAGAACACC
This 537-nucleotide ribosomal RNA is filed under the name Bifidobacterium pseudocatenulatum. RNAcentral's name for it is "bacterial SSU rRNA". It matches the Rfam family "Bacterial small subunit ribosomal RNA", at positions 161 to 710 of the family's 1533-position model. Lineage: Bacteria; Bacillati; Actinomycetota; Actinomycetes; Bifidobacteriales; Bifidobacteriaceae. The record is from RNAcentral.